Molecule: ribosomal RNA, 490 nt
Filed under: uncultured bacterium
Lineage: Bacteria
Description: partial 16S ribosomal RNA
Rfam family: Bacterial small subunit ribosomal RNA
Source: RNAcentral
AUUGAACGCUGGCGGCAUGCCUUACACACGCAAGUCGAACGGGGGUAGCAAUACCCUAGUGGCGGACGGGUGAGUAAUGUAUCGGAACGUGCCCUUGAGUGGGGGAUAACUACUCGAAAGAGUGGCUAAUACCGCAUGAGAUCUACGGAUGAAGGCAGGGGAUCGCAAGACCUUGUGCUACGAGAGCGGCCGAUGGCAGAUUAGGUAGUUGGUGGGAUAAAAGCUUACCAAGCCGACGAUCUGUAGCUGGUCUGAGAGGACGAUCAGCCACACUGGGACUGAGACACGGCCCAGACUCCUACGGGAGGAAGCAGUGGGGAAUUUUGGACAAUGGGCGCAAGCCUGAUCCAGCAAUGCCGCGUGCAGGAUGAAGGCCUUCGGGUUGUGAACUGCUUUUGUACGGAACGAAAAGCCCUGGGUUAAUACCCUGGGGUCAUGACGAUACCGUAAGAAUAAGCACCGGCUAACUACGUGCCAGCCGCCGCCGUAA